AUAAUCUCGUAUUCAAUGUAUCGUAUAAUAGACCUAAUGUGGAGGUCAAGUUUCUACCGCGAUUCCGUAAAAUUCGCGACUACGAUAUGAAAACACCUUUUU
RNAcentral lists this non-coding RNA (102 nucleotides) under Mycoplasmatota bacterium. Its description in RNAcentral is "Tenericutes bacterium Guanine sequence". It matches the Rfam family "Purine riboswitch aptamer". From Rfam's summary of the family: Riboswitches are metabolite binding domains within certain messenger RNAs that serve as precision sensors for their corresponding targets. Allosteric rearrangement of mRNA structure is mediated by ligand binding, and this results in modulation of gene expression. A class of riboswitches that selectively recognises guanine and becomes saturated at concentrations as low as 5 nM. Lineage: Bacteria; Bacillati; Mycoplasmatota. The record is from RNAcentral.